RNAcentral lists this long non-coding RNA (1240 nucleotides) under Zostera marina. Its description in RNAcentral is "long non-coding RNA (ZMAR_LNC000534)". The record is from RNAcentral. Lineage: Eukaryota; Viridiplantae; Streptophyta; Magnoliopsida; Alismatales; Zosteraceae.
AACUCAAGAGCUUUCACUCCACACUUGCUCACACGUUUUUGCCUCCAAGCUUCCAAGCUUUCAAGUGCUCAAGUAUCCUAGCUUUCCAAAGCUUCAAAAGCUCUCCAACUUCUUCUUCUAAUCUUCUUGUUCAUCUUUACAAGUAAGAAGUGUUGUUUGCUUUAAUAUUCCACUCCUCUAAUCACCUCUUGUGUGUGUCCACUUUUGUUGAGAGGGUUGUCUCAAUAGUACCAAAGUGUUAGAGAAGGUUUGUGAGCUCAACCAUAAAGCUCUAGUUUGGUUUUAUAGAGUUUCCUGGAAAACUCUUAGGUUGAGUCUACCUUUAAAGAUUUCAGAGGUUUUUAAGAGUUCCUUGAUACUCUAAGGUGCUAACUUACCCGUAAAAGUUAGAGGUUCUUAAGAGUGCCCUUGAUACUCUAAGGUGUGAGUCUACCCGUAAAAGACUGGUUCCUAAGCGAAGUAGCCUUAAAGCUUAGAGAGGUUUUUAAGAGUUCCUUGAUACUCUAAGGUACUAACUUACCCGUAAAAGUUAGAGGUUCUUAAGAGUGCCCUUAAUACUCUAAGGUGUGAGUCUACCCGUAAAAGACUGGUUCCUAAGCGAAGUAGCCUUAAAGCUUAGAAAGGUUUUGCCAUUACCUUUAGGCGAGUGAAUUCUGGCAGUUGGUCGGGACUGGACUAGCCCUUGUUUGGGUGAACCAGUAUAAAUCUCUUGUGUUGUUCUCUGUUAAUUAUAGCUUUAUCUUUUGUUUAAAAAACAACACUUAAUUAAAAAGAUCCCUCUUCCAGUUAUCUGGUCAAACACAAAGGUUGACUACUUUACACAGAUCCCUCAUCCAGUUAUCUGGUCAACUAUCUGAGGUUAUAUUCAUUGCUUUAAAUCUUUAUAUUUGUUCAAGUACUACUUAUCAUAUUUAUCCAGUUAUCUGGUCACUUACUUGUUUAUCAACUUAUCCAGUUAUCUGGUCACUUACUUGUUUAUCAAUAUAUCCAGUUAUCUGGUCAUUUACUUGCGUAUCAAUAUAUCCAGUUAUCUGGUCAUUUACUCUACAUUACAAUUUGUGUUUUCAAUAUAACUUAGUAUUCAUAUACUAUAGUUGUGUGUAAAACACUAUCAAGCAAGUUGACUCAGUAUUCAUAUACUGUAGUAAGCUUCGGAGAGUAAUACUUACAUCAUUAUAUCAAUCAAAAUCAUAAUAUCCUUAUAUCAUUACUUGUUCAACCAUUUGUUUAUUAAGCAUUU